This 496-nucleotide ribosomal RNA is filed under the name uncultured bacterium. RNAcentral's name for it is "partial 16S ribosomal RNA". It matches the Rfam family "Bacterial small subunit ribosomal RNA", at positions 28 to 507 of the family's 1533-position model. The record is from RNAcentral.
GACGAACGCUGGCGGCGUGCCUAAUACAUGCAAGUUGAGCGCUGAAGGUUGGUACUUGUACCAACUGGAUGAGCAGCGAACGGGUGAGUAACGCGUGGGAAUCUGCCUUUGAGCGGGGGACAACAUUUGGAAACGAAUGCUAAUACCGCAUAAAAACUUUAAACACAAGUUUUAAGUUUGAAAGAUGCAAUUGCAUCACUCAAAGAUGAUCCCGCGUUGUAUUAGCUAGUUGGUGAGGUAAAGGCUCACCAAGGCGAUGAUACAUAGCCGACCUGAGAGGGUGAUCGGCCACAUUGGGACUGAGACACGGCCCAAACUCCUACGGGAGGCAGCAGUAGGGAAUCUUCGGCAAUGGACGAAAGUCUGACCGAGCAACGCCGCGUGAGUGAAGAAGGUUUUCGGAUCGUAAAACUCUGUCGGUAGAGAAGAACGUUGGUGAGAGUGGAAAGCUCAUCAAGUGACGGUAACUACCCAGAAAGGGACGGCUAACUACGUG